AAUCAAAUGUCUAAGCUCAGGGAGUAAUUACCGCAUGAUUCCUCAAAUGACUUGCUGCGAAUUGUUUACGAGUCUACUGUUUUGAAAGUUAAUCUAUUGACUCACAUUUCUCUCUAUGAUUUUCUAAAGAUAGAUUCCUGCGAGCUCGAAUUAAUAGACUUGGGUAGGCAAUGUAUGAAUUUUCCGAGAAAUGGAUUUUGUGAAAAUGUGGAUAUUAUAUUUACCGAACCAUGUUAUUAUGCUCGCUAAUGCUUUCUUAAAUGCAUCUCUUAUUGAUUUUCCAAAUAGUUGCGAUUAUUCAUGAAAGCUAGUUAUACUCUGGAUUGUUACUCGAUUUUGUGUUGCGAGAAACUGCAAAUGUUUAUAAGACAAGAUCUGAACUUUGGAAAUGCAUUUCACGAAAGAUCUGGAAUUGUUUGUCCAUUUUGUGCAAGCAUGUUAGCUCGUCAAAAUAAGCAAUUAAUUGUAUUCCACUUGAUUUAGCUUUGAUCGAUGGAUUUGGUGAUCGAAAUAUGUACACUUACUAAACAUGUCAUAUAUCUAACUUUGACGAAUUAUUGAUACGUGUGAGCAUGUCGAUUUGGUAG
RNAcentral lists this long non-coding RNA (587 nucleotides) under Erythranthe guttata (spotted monkey flower). RNAcentral's name for it is "long non-coding RNA (EGUT_LNC000174)". The record is from RNAcentral. Lineage: Eukaryota; Viridiplantae; Streptophyta; Magnoliopsida; Lamiales; Phrymaceae.